RNAcentral lists this ribosomal RNA (336 nucleotides) under Triticum aestivum (bread wheat). Its description in RNAcentral is "partial small subunit ribosomal RNA". The record is from RNAcentral. Lineage: Eukaryota; Viridiplantae; Streptophyta; Magnoliopsida; Poales; Poaceae.
AUGUCCGGAGCGGGAGGCAAGUGGAUGGUCUCCUCCGUCACGGAGGAGCACAUCGCAAAGCUACGGGAAGCUGAAUAUUUGGCCGCGGACAUCGCGCACCGGCUGCCAGAUGUGGGGCAGAUCAUCCCUACGCCCACACCCCAUGAGAGGGUAGUUUUCCUUACCCACUUUGUCCGUGGACUGGGAUUUCCCCUUCACCCAUUUGUUCGCGGGCUCAUGUUCUACUACGGGCUGGAUUUUCAUGAUCUGGCCCCAAUUUCAUCCUCAACAUCUCGGCGUUUAUCGUCGUGUGCGAGGCCUUCCUCCGCAUUAGGCCCCACUUCGGCCUGUGGCUGA